UACGUAGGGGGCUAGCGUUGUCCGGAUUUAUUGGGCGUAAAGAGCGCGUAGGCGGCCGAGUAAGUCCGACGUGAAAUCUGGAGGCCCAACCUCCAGCGGUCGUUGGAAACUACUCGGCUAGAGUCCGGAAGAGGAGAGUGGAAUUCCUGGUGUAGCGGUGAAAUGCGCAGAUAUCAGGAAGAACACCGAUGGCGAAAGCAGCUCUCUGGGACGGUACUGACGCUGAGGCGCGAAAGCGUGGGGAGCAAACAGG
RNAcentral lists this ribosomal RNA (253 nucleotides) under uncultured bacterium. Its description in RNAcentral is "partial 16S ribosomal RNA". It matches the Rfam family "Bacterial small subunit ribosomal RNA", at positions 524 to 776 of the family's 1533-position model. The record is from RNAcentral.